Long non-coding RNA from Dama dama (fallow deer), 1367 nucleotides. RefSeq lists it as uncharacterized. The transcript is spliced from 4 exons. The record is from RefSeq and is a predicted model, not a curated record. Lineage: Eukaryota; Metazoa; Chordata; Mammalia; Artiodactyla; Cervidae.
UAGUGGAGACAAGUUGGCGCGUUCAAGAAUGGGGAGCAUAAAUGAAGAGCAAAUUGAGAAAGUGGUGGAAGUGAUUGGGGAUGAAAGAUUGAUAGAAAUUACCAAUGCUGAGAUGGAAAUUCCUUUUGAAGGUGUAGAGGCGAAUGAUGAAGAAGAGAAUGAGGAAGGGGUGGGGGAGGAGGAGGAUAUCUUGGAAGAAGAGAAUGAUAAUAGUGAUGAAUCUGUUUCUAUGGAAGAGAAAGCAAUUAUAGAGGAAGAAGAAGUGAGUGAGGAGAUGGAGAAUGUAAGAAGGAAAGAGGAGCAAAUAGGGGAUGUUUUGCAAGUCAAAGAGGAGAAAUUAGAGUGAAGCAGAAUGCUAUUGACCCUGAAGGGGUCAAUAGAGAAAGCAUCUGAGCCUAAGAGAAGAAAGAGUGGGAAUGAAGAGCUACUGGGAAUGAAGGUGGACACCAGGACCAAAGGAAGUGAAGAAGUCUGAUAAAGGGAAGUGGAACAUUUUGGGAAGAAAGAGAAGAUUUGUUAAUGUGUCGAUAGCUAGAGGAAAAGUGGACAUUGGUUUCUUGGAAAAGAGCUGUGACUAAGGAGCUUGUAGAGAAGUGCUUGAGAAAUGCAUUGAGGAUGGGCCAGAAAGAUUUAGUUUAACAGAUGAUUGAGUUUAUGAGACGUAGGAGAAUGCAUAGUGAGAAAAAUGGACAGUGACAGCGGGAUGAGGAUAGAUCAUGAAGGUGGUGGAAGGAGAUGUGGGCUGGAGUGAUCAAUGUCUGAUAGAGGAUCCUAAAGGAUGAGGAGCUCGACAAAGGCGAGAGCAGAGAUGAGAAAAUAAAGAAGUGACGGAAAAAACAUGCCACAUCUCGUUCCCUGACCAGGGAUCAAACCCUGGCCCCCUGCAUUGGGACCAUGGAGUCUUAGCCAGUGGACCACCAGAGAAGUCCUGCAGACCUCUGCCUUCCCAAGAUCAACCACUCUGGGCCUCCUCUGGUGAUAUCUGAGUGUAGAGAAACUGUUGCCCCUCUUCUAAGAGGCAUGCACAGGCACCCAGUCAAGACGGACAGUUUUCUGUUACGUGAGUCUCUCAGAUUGCGCUUCACAGUAUAUAAACUGUGAACUAAAUCAUCAGACUUGUUCUUUGGCUGAAUUACAUUUUCUCCUGGAAUAUGAGAUGCAUUCCACUGAGACCGCAGAAAGAAAAAGUGAAGAUCAAGACACCAUGACACCACCUUGUCACCAGAGCUGCCAACGUCUCCCAGAACGUACGCCAAGGGCCCAGGCCUGGCAGCCGCCUCCUCCAUGCCUGGCGAGGCUGUGAUGGAAGAACACUGAACAGGCACUCAGGCACCCGGGUCCCAGAGUGAUCAGGUCUCCCCAGUGAU